This 301-nucleotide ribosomal RNA is filed under the name uncultured bacterium. RNAcentral's name for it is "partial 16S ribosomal RNA". It matches the Rfam family "Bacterial small subunit ribosomal RNA", at positions 509 to 809 of the family's 1533-position model. The record is from RNAcentral.
CAGUCGCCGCGGGAACACGUAGGGUGCAAGCGUUAAUCGGAAUUACUGGGCGUAAAGCGUGCGCAGGCGGUUAUAUAAGACAGAUGUGAAAUCCCCGGGCUCAACCUGGGAACUGCAUUUGUGACUGUAUAGCUAGAGUACGGCAGAGGGGGAUGGAAUUCCGCGUGUAGCAGUGAAAUGCGUAGAUAUGCGGAGGAACACCGAUGGCGAAGGCAAUCCCCUGGGCCUGUACUGACGCUCAUGCACGAAAGCGUGGGGAGCAAACAGGAUUAGAGACCCCCGUAGUCCCUGUCUCUUAUAA